This is a small nucleolar RNA of Sorex fumeus (smoky shrew), 104 nucleotides long. RefSeq annotates it as small nucleolar RNA U13. The transcript has a single exon. NCBI's taxonomy places the organism in Eukaryota, Metazoa, Chordata, Mammalia, Eulipotyphla, Soricidae. The record is from RefSeq and is a predicted model, not a curated record.
AUCCUUUUCCAAUUCAUAAGCAUUAUGACUGGGUGUUCACAUAUUUGUGUGACAUAUGCCUCCCUUAAAUAUUGCUCCAUAUUUGGCACAUUACCCAUCUGAAG